GGGGUGAAAGGCCAAUCAAACCGGGAGAUAGCUGGUUCUCCCCGAAAGCUAUUUAGGUAGCGCCUCGUGAAUUCAUCUACAGGGGUAGAGCACUGUUUUGGCUAGGGGGCCAUCCCGGCUUACUAAUCCAAUGCAAACUCCGAAUACUGUAGAAUGUUAUCACGGGAGACACACAGCGGGUGCUAACGUUCGUUGUGGAGAGGGAAACAACCCAGACCGCCAGCUAAGGUCCCAAAGUCAUAGUUAAGUGGGAAACGAUGUGGGAAGGCAUAAACAGCCAGGAUGUUGGCUUAGAAGCAGCCAUCAUUUAAAGAAAGCGUAAUAGCUCACUGGUC
Molecule: ribosomal RNA, 335 nt
Filed under: Candidatus Portiera aleyrodidarum (primary endosymbiont of Bemisia tabaci)
Lineage: Bacteria; Pseudomonadati; Pseudomonadota; Gammaproteobacteria; Johnevansiales (SeqCode); Johnevansiaceae (SeqCode)
Description: partial 23S ribosomal RNA
Rfam family: Bacterial large subunit ribosomal RNA
Source: RNAcentral